RNAcentral lists this ribosomal RNA (250 nucleotides) under uncultured Planctomycetia bacterium. RNAcentral describes it as "partial 16S ribosomal RNA". It matches the Rfam family "Bacterial small subunit ribosomal RNA", at positions 524 to 773 of the family's 1533-position model. Lineage: Bacteria; Pseudomonadati; Planctomycetota; Planctomycetia. The record is from RNAcentral.
GACGAACCGUGCAAACGUUAUUCGGAAUCACUGGGCUUAAAGCGUGCGUAGGCGGCUCAGAAAGUUGGGUGUGAAAUGCCUCGGCUCAACCGAGGAAUUGCGCCCAAAACUACUGGGCUUGAGGGAGUUAGAGGUGAGCGGAACUCACGGUGGAGCGGUGAAAUGCGUUGAUAUCGUGAGGAACACCGGAGGCGAAAGCGGCUCACUGGGGCUUCACUGACGCUGAGGCACGAAAGCUAGGGGAGCAAAC